Molecule: ribosomal RNA, 327 nt
Filed under: uncultured eukaryote
Lineage: Eukaryota
Description: partial 18S ribosomal RNA
Rfam family: Eukaryotic small subunit ribosomal RNA
Source: RNAcentral
CCCUUAGAUGUUCUGGGCUGCACGCGCGCUACACUGAAGCGUUCAACGAGUAUUCACCUUGCCCGGGAGGGUUGGGUAAUCUUUUGAAAACGCUUCGUGGUGGGGAUAGAUUAUUGCAAUUAUUAAUCUUCAACGAGGAAUUCCUAGUAAACGCAGAUCAUCAAUCUGCAUUGAUUACGUCCCUGCCCUUUGUACACACCGCCCGUCGCACCUACCGAUUGGAUGGUCCGGUGAAGCCUCGGGAUUGUGGUUCUUGCCGCUUUAUUGUGGCGUGACCGCGAGAACUUGUCUAAACCUUAUCAUCUAGAGGAAGGUGAAGUCGUAACA